This 123-nucleotide ribosomal RNA is filed under the name Fusarium solani. Its description in RNAcentral is "5.8S ribosomal RNA". It matches the Rfam family "5.8S ribosomal RNA", at positions 2 to 124 of the family's 154-position model. From Rfam's summary of the family: 5.8S ribosomal RNA (5.8S rRNA) is a component of the large subunit of the eukaryotic ribosome. It is transcribed by RNA polymerase I as part of the 45S precursor that also contains 18S and 28S rRNA. The record is from RNAcentral. Lineage: Eukaryota; Fungi; Ascomycota; Sordariomycetes; Hypocreales; Nectriaceae.
ACUUUCAACAACGGAUCUCUUGGCUCUGGCAUCGAUGAAGAACGCAGCGAAAUGCGAUAAGUAAUGUGAAUUGCAAAAUUCAGUGAAUCAUCGAAUCUUUGAACGCACAUUGCGCCCGCCAGC